UUGGCUUCUACUUGAAAGCAGUCAGUGGAUGUAAGAAUAGCAGCUGAUCUUCCUGGCCACCUGUUGCCCUGAUCUUACUUUGGGCCAGCAGCAUAAGGUUAUGCUAUGGUUGAACCCAGGAAGAGCAAUAAAGUAACCACAGCCUAUUUUGCAAUACCUUCUUUUUGAAAGAAGCUUAAGAGUUUCUUAACCCAAGCCCUGCAAAACAACAACAACAGCAAAAAACAACGAAAAGAUUUACUGAGAGAGAUACAAAGAAGAAAUUACACUGCUCGCCUAGGACUGAGGCCUUCAAGUUCUGGUCACGGUUCAAAACUGUUUCUGUAUCUUCCAACAGAAUCUCACUGGAAACAAACAGUCAAAGCCCUACAGAUGGUAUUAGGCUGAACUUAAAUUUCCCAUUCUAAACUAGCUUCUUAACAGAGGAAUUGUGUGCGCUGCAGUGUAAUGAUCUAGCAUGUUGUAGUUACUCACUAAAAUGUUAGGGACAAAGGAGACAGUAAUUGUGAACUGUAAUAGUCUUUUUCCCUCUUGAGUUACAGCAUCUGUUAAAGGUAAUUUAUUCUUAUUCACAGAUAAUAUUUAUCAUGGAAUUAAAAAUGUCAUCUUUCAUUCCUGUCUAGAAGUAACAGGAAUCAGAAUAUGUAUAACUUACAGCUACAAUACAUGACUUGCAUAUAAAACUACUCUUGAUAUUAAAUUUAAUAAUUGCUUUUAUUAAACAGUGCUAUUUACAGUACCAUUCAUUCUUUAAAUUCUGUUUUCAUAAGCACAAUUUGUCUAAUACCAUGAGAUAUAAAAUAAUCUAGCGAAAUACAGAUGAAAUUUUGUAUCUAGGUAGGAUCAAUGCGCACAAAUCCAUUGGCCCUGAUGGGAUGCAUCCAUCCAUCCAGCUGAGGGAGCUGGCAGAGGUUAUUGCUGAACUGCACUCUAUCAUCUUUGUCAAGUCUUGGUGAACAGGAGAGGUACCUGAAGGCUGGAGGAUAGCCAGUGUUACUUUGGUCUUCAAAAAGGGCAAGGAGGACCUAGGAAAUUACAGGCCAGUCAGUCUCACCUCUGUCCCUAGAAAAGUGAUGGAAGAGAUUGUUCUAGAUGCCAUCUCCAAGCAAUUGGAAGAGAAGUUCAUCAGGAAUAGUCAGAAUGGAUUCACCAAGGGAAAAUUGUGUUUGACCAAACUCAUAGACUUCUAUGAUGGCAUCACCAGCUGGGUAGAUGGGGGAGAGCACUGGAUGUUGUCUACCUUGUCUUCAGCAAGGCUUUUGAUACUGUCUCACACAACAUCCUGAUAAUGAAGCUGAAAAAGUGUGGGGUAGGUGGUGAGGUGGGUUGAGAACUGGUUGACUGGCUGAGCUGAGAGAGCGGUGAUCAGCGGUGCGGUUGGAGACCUGUGACUAGCGAUAUCUCCCAGGGCUCAGUGCUGGUUCCAGUCUUGUUCAGUAACUUCAUUAACAACCUUGAUGAGGGGAUAGUGUCCACCCUCAGCAAGAAUGCUGAUGAUAUAAAGCUGGGAGGAGUGGCUGACGCAUUCGGAAGGCUGUGCUGCCAUUCAGCAAAACCUGGACAGACUAGAGAGUUGGGCAGCAAUUAACCAGAUGAGGUUUAUCAAGAGCGUAUGUGUUGUGUUGCACCUGGGAAGGAAUUACUGCAAGUACCAGUACAGGCGGGGACAUGGCCUGCCAGAGAGGAGCUCUGCAGAGAAGGACCAGGGGAUCCUGGUGCAUAAAAGGUUGGCCAUGAGUUGGCAGUGUGCCCUGGUGGACAAGGAAGCCAAUACUGAUCCUCCUCCUCUA
Molecule: non-coding RNA, 1790 nt
Organism: Meleagris gallopavo (turkey)
Lineage: Eukaryota; Metazoa; Chordata; Aves; Galliformes; Phasianidae
Source: RefSeq, a predicted model, not a curated record